This 112-nucleotide ribosomal RNA is filed under the name Pedobacter cryophilus. Lineage: Bacteria; Pseudomonadati; Bacteroidota; Sphingobacteriia; Sphingobacteriales; Sphingobacteriaceae. The record is from RNAcentral.
UUAGGUGCCUAUAUCGGCGGUGUCCACCUCUUCCCAUUCCGAACAGAGAAGUUAAGCCCGCCAGAGCCGAUGGUACUGCAGUAAAAUGUGGGAGAGUAGGUCGGUGCCAAAU